RNAcentral lists this ribosomal RNA (482 nucleotides) under uncultured bacterium. RNAcentral describes it as "partial 16S ribosomal RNA". It matches the Rfam family "Bacterial small subunit ribosomal RNA", at positions 30 to 507 of the family's 1533-position model. The record is from RNAcentral.
AUUGAACGCUGGCGGCAUGCCUUACACAUGCAAGUCGAACGGUAACGGGCCUUCGGGUGCCGACGAGUGGCGAACGGGUGCGUAAUACAUCGGAACGUGCCCGAUCGUGGGGGGUAACGAGGCGAAAGCUUUGCUAAUACCGCAUACGAUCUACGGUUGAAAGCAGGGGACCGCAAGGCCUUGCGCGGACGGUGCGGCCGAUGGCAGAUUAGGUAGUUGGUGGGAUAAAAGCUUACCAAGCCGACGAUCUGUAGCUGGUCUGAGAGGAUGAUCAGCCACACUGGGACUGAGACACGGCCCAGACUCCUACGGGAGGCAGCAGUGGGGAAUUUUGGACAAUGGGCGCAAGCCUGAUCCAGCCAUGCCGCGUGCAGGAUGAAGGCCUUCGGGUUGUAAACUGCUUUUGUACGGAACGAAAAGCCUUCUUUUAAAACAGGAGGGUCAUGACGGUACCGUAAGAAUAAGCACCGGCUAACUACGUG